AAUGAUCCCUAUGUAUGAGAACAGCUGCUACAGUGGGGGAGGGGGGCACACGCAGGGAGGUGUGUGCACUCCCUAAUCUCACCUGGCUUCAACCUGCUGCAGACUUAGAGGCAAGAUAUUUACACAGUGUGGGGAGGGAAACCAGACAGAAAGAAACAGGGCUUGGAGUGAGGAAAAGGAAUAAAGAAAGGAGAAUUUUUUUCACACUCCCAUAAUCGCUUGGGCAGUAUAUUGAAGCUAGAUUCAGUAAGUUUAGAAGCAAGGUGUAUCAAGACACGGUUUGGAUGGAUAAGGUACGGAGGAGUCCUGGGUCCAAGGUGUCCCACAGAACUCAGGGGUGAAGGAACUGAGAAGGCACAAGAUGUCCUGGGAAAUCAUCAUUCGUUCAGACGAGGGUCAGUGUGGAAAGCAUGAGCAGACACGGCUUACCCGGUACCAGGAAUUUUGAGAGAAGCCAAGAGGCUGGGGAAAAGAAAAAAAAACAAAACAAAACACUGGAAAAAACAGAAGGGAACUGUCAGACUCAGAGAAGCAUUUAAGUUAGAGUGAGAAGUCCAAUUGCCAGCAUUGGAUGGGAUGACUAGCAAUCAGUGGAGCAGAAAACAAGUCUGUUGUCAGGGAGUGUAGCGGCCUAAGGGAUCCCAUCCCGCCGCCGCCGCCGCCGCCGCCGCCGCCGCCGCCGCCGCCGCCGCCGCCACCACCACCACCAGUACCGCCCCGGCCCCAGGUCACAGCACCAAAUGUUAUGAAAUAUAAUGUGAUGGGGGGGUACCUUCGGUGGGCCCAUGCCAAGAUGGUACCCCUGAGGCCUGUGUAUGCCACGCGACAGAGCUGAUGGGAGAAGGCUGCCGUUACUGCCAUCAGAACCCAGCCUCUUCAGCCUUCCCCUGAGACUGUCCCGGGAUCCUGCGGGCUGUCAUCAACACACUGGGACUCCUGAAGCAAUCCAGCCUUGGGGACUGAGCAGAUAACUGGAUUCUCAGCCUCUCCAGCGCAGCCGCCAUUACUGAACUACGCAGCCACAACGGUAGCUGGGGACCGAACCCAGGGCCUUGUGCUUGCUAGGCAAGAGCUCUACCACUGAGCUAAAUCCCUAAACCCAACACUUCGCUUUUUUGAGAUGAGUCUCUCGCUGAAUCUGGAAGUGAUGGGUUUGGGAAGACUGGUAGCUCUCCAGCUCAGGACGGCCCUCCCCAGUGCUGGGAUUGCAGGCAGGGUCUCACUUUCAGCCGUAGCUGGCUUCAAACUCAAGAGAUUCGGGCUGGAGAGAUGGCUCAGCAGUUAAGAGCACUGACUGCUCUUCCAGAGGUCAUGAGUUCAAUUCCCAGCAACCAUAUGGUGGCUCACAACCAUCUGUAAAGAGAUCCGAUGCCCUCUUCUGGUGUAUCUGAAGACAGCUACAGUGUACUUAUAUAUAAUAAAUAAAUAAAUAAAUAAAUAAAUAAAUAAAUAAAUAAAUAAGUAAAAAACUCAAA
This is a long non-coding RNA of Rattus norvegicus (Norway rat), 1475 nucleotides long. RefSeq lists it as uncharacterized. The record is from RefSeq and is a predicted model, not a curated record. Lineage: Eukaryota; Metazoa; Chordata; Mammalia; Rodentia; Muridae.